AACGAACGCUGGCGGCAUGCCUAACACAUGCGAGUCGAACGAGACCUUCGUGUCAAGUGGCGCUCGGGGGCGUAACGCGGGGGAACCUUCCCGUAGGUACGGAAUAAUUCCUCGAAAUGGGUGCUAAUAACGGAUAAUUUCUUCGGACCAAAGCUUGAUCGCCCUUGGAUGGGCCUGCGUUGGUUUAGCUUGUUAGUAGGGUAAAAGCCUACCAAGGCGACGAUCCAUGGCUGGUCUGAGAGAAAGAUCAGCCACACUGGGAGUGAGACACGGCCCAGACUCCUACGGGAGGCAGGAGAGGGGAAUAUAGGCCAAUCGGCGAGGGGAUGAACCAGCACUGCCGCGUAAGUCAUUUAGGCGUGAGGGUUGAGCAGCAGUUUUAUCCGGGGCGAUAAUGACGGUACCGGAAGAAUAAGCACCGGCUAACUUCGUG
Molecule: ribosomal RNA, 433 nt
Filed under: uncultured bacterium
Lineage: Bacteria
Description: partial 16S ribosomal RNA
Rfam family: Bacterial small subunit ribosomal RNA
Source: RNAcentral